This 301-nucleotide ribosomal RNA is filed under the name uncultured bacterium. RNAcentral's name for it is "partial 16S ribosomal RNA". It matches the Rfam family "Bacterial small subunit ribosomal RNA", at positions 509 to 807 of the family's 1533-position model. The record is from RNAcentral.
CAGCAGCCGCGGGAAUACGUAGGGUGCAAGCGUUGUCCGGAAUCAUUGGGCGUAAAGCGCGCGUAGGUGGCUCUGUAAGUCCGUUGUGAAAGUCAAAGGCUCAACCUUUGAAUGCCGAUGGAUACUGCAGAGCUAGAGUACGGAAGAGGCGAGUGGAAUUCCUGGUGUAGCGGUGGAAUGCGCAGAUAUCAGGAGGAACACCAAUAGCGAAGGCAGCUCGCUGGGACGUUACUGACACUAAGGCGCGAAAGCGUGGGGAGCGAACAGGAUUAGAUACCCGCGUAGUCCCUGUCUCUUAUAC